Molecule: long non-coding RNA, 89 nt
Organism: Haliotis rubra (blacklip abalone)
Lineage: Eukaryota; Metazoa; Mollusca; Gastropoda; Lepetellida; Haliotidae
Exons: 3
Source: RefSeq, a predicted model, not a curated record
AUUUAAAUCAAAACUGCUUAACAGAAACUCCGGGCAUUCGGAUAUCGCUCCUUCAGCUAUGGUGCUCCACAGUUGUGGAAUCAACUCCC